UUGGUACUCCCUCCGGCCGGAAUUACUUGUCGAAAUAUUACAUGUAUCUAGACGCUUUUUAAGCAUAGAUACAUCCAUAUUUGGGCAAAUUUGAGACAAGUAAUAUGGGUCGGAGGGAGUAGGAA
This is a non-coding RNA of Brachypodium distachyon (stiff brome), 125 nucleotides long. The record is from Rfam. Lineage: Eukaryota; Viridiplantae; Streptophyta; Magnoliopsida; Poales; Poaceae.